ACCCAUCCUUAAGUUUUCCAGGAGAUACAGAAGCAGUUUGACACCUGCUGCCCAGUUCACCUUUCCUGAGAGCCCAGAGGACCAUUGAGAGGUGCACAGUGCAGCUGGGAGAGAGCAGCCCCCGUUUAUGGGGAGAGGUGGAGGGAGCAGAAAAUAUCUGUAGUUGCACCGGGGCGAAAAGAGGGGAAAAGGGAAAGAAAGGAAAAUGAAGAGGGGCUGUACCCACCAGACCAG
RNAcentral lists this long non-coding RNA (234 nucleotides) under Coturnix japonica (Japanese quail). RNAcentral's name for it is "lncRNA (ENSCJPG00005018941.1)". The record is from RNAcentral. Lineage: Eukaryota; Metazoa; Chordata; Aves; Galliformes; Phasianidae.